CCAAUUAAUAUAAAAUAAGUUUGAACUAAAAAAAUUUCUAAUUUUUUAAUUUAUGGUUAAAAUCCAUUUUUAUUU
This 75-nucleotide transfer RNA is filed under the name Meteorus pulchricornis. Its description in RNAcentral is "tRNA-Ser". Lineage: Eukaryota; Metazoa; Arthropoda; Insecta; Hymenoptera; Braconidae. The record is from RNAcentral.